RNAcentral lists this long non-coding RNA (1214 nucleotides) under Triticum aestivum (bread wheat). RNAcentral's name for it is "long non-coding RNA (TAES_LNC009143)". The record is from RNAcentral. Lineage: Eukaryota; Viridiplantae; Streptophyta; Magnoliopsida; Poales; Poaceae.
UCAUAUAUUAACCUUACAAAAUACUUUACAUUUACAAAUGGCUCAAUAUUUUAUUCUCUAGUCGUCUCCCACCCUCCGGUCAAGCCUAGUCUUGAAUGACGACAUCUUCUGGACGUUCUUGCGUUAGUCGACGACUGCAUCUAAAAAGCAGAGGAAGCAAGAAUGAGUACGACAUGUCAUACUCAGCAAGCAGAUACUUCACCAUUCAACAAGGAGAAUAGUAUGAUGGUGUAGAUUAAUAGAUGAACUGAACAAGGUAAUUUUCAUUGAAACAUAUUUUGGUGUAAAUGGACAAAAGAACAUAUAACUGGAUUUAAUGGAAACAACCGGGAAUUUAUUGGCGUCACACAUGACCGCAAACUUCCCAACCCGGGAGUCACAGGGGUGAAAUUUCACACUUUUACACUCUUAAGAGGGGUACUCCGACAUCAACAGCCUCGACUAGAACCACACAAGUUCCAGAAGAGCAGAGCACUUUGAUCCCCCAAAAACCGGGCUCCCGACUUACUAGUGUCGAUCGCUCCUGCGGAUCCAUCAUCGACACGCUUCCGAAUGAGUGCCAUUUUUAGCGGAGAACUCAGACAGUCCCAUACCUGAACUGUGACCGGUACAAUACGUUUACCGUCGUGCCACCAAUAUAGAUGGACAUAAUAUGAUAUGUGGCCGAAUCAGCUAUAGAAUCACCGAAAUAUCAGUCAAGACAAUAAACUCAUGCCUUUAGAUGAAUUCCUCUCAUAUCAAACUGAUUCCAUCAACAAAUGGAUUAUCACGGACAACAUGUCCUUCAACAAAUGGAUUAUCGAGGACAACAUGUCCUUCUCAAAUAGAACAGGGAUCAACAGAGGAUAAAUAAGAUUCGGGUGCAGCAGUAUAUAAUCAAGAAAGACAACGAACUAGGGAGUUAGCAAAGUAGCUACUUGCCUUAGAUAAUAUGAUUUAUCCUUUAGAAUAAUAUUCUACCAGAAGAUGAAACUCCAUCAUCUUUAUGUAAUCUGGCAAAUGCAGAUAUACUAAUAUUCUCCUGAUGUAUGGCACGCCUCUUCCCUUCAGCAGCACCUACACGAUCUAUAUAUCUUCAAACAUGGACGCAUGCAUACAUGUAUUCUUCAUCUCUCUUCUCUUCGCUCUCUCCGCUGGUAUGCUCUAUUUCUCUCAUGCUCUUUCUCCUAUGGUAUCUUCUCUUCGCUCUAUUUCUCUCAUGCUCUCACUCUUGG